This 906-nucleotide ribosomal RNA is filed under the name Elsinoe barleriicola. Its description in RNAcentral is "LSU rRNA". It matches the Rfam family "Eukaryotic large subunit ribosomal RNA", at positions 36 to 964 of the family's 3401-position model. Lineage: Eukaryota; Fungi; Ascomycota; Dothideomycetes; Myriangiales; Elsinoaceae. The record is from RNAcentral.
UAGCAUAUCAAUAAGCGGAGGAAAAGAAACCAACAGGGAUUGCCUCAGUAACGGCGAGUGAAGCGGCAACAGCUCAAAUUUGAAAUCUGGCGCCUUCGGCGUCCGAGUUGUAAUUUGUAGAGGAUGCUAUCGGGUUGCCACCGGUCUAAGUUCCUUGGAACAGGACGUCACAGAGGGUGAGAAUCCCGUAUGUGACCGGCCAGGCGCCUUCUGUAUAGCUCCUUCGACGAGUCGGGUUGUUUGGGAAUGCAGCCCUAAAUGGGAGGUAAAUUUCUUCUAAAGCUAAAUACCGGCCAGAGACCGAUAGCGCACAAGUAGAGUGAUCGAAAGAUGAAAAGCACUUUGGAAAGAGAGUUAAAAAGCACGUGAAAUUGUUGAAAGGGAAGCGCUUGCAAUCAGUCUCGACGGCGGCUGUUCGGCCUCUCUUCUGAGUGGUUUAUUCAGCCGCCGCCGGGCCAGCAUCAGUUUCGGCGGCCGGACAAAGGCGCGGGGAAUGUAGCUCCCUCGGGAGUGUUAUAGCCCCGCGCGCAAUACGGCCCGCCGGGACUGAGGUCCGCGCUCCGGCUAGGAUGCUGGCGAAAUGGUUGUAAGCGGCCCGUCUUGAAACACGGACCAAGGAGUCUAACAUCUACGCGAGUGUUUGGGUGUCAAACCCGUGCGCGCAAUGAAAGUGAACGGAGGUGGGAACCGCAAGGUGCACCAUCGACCGAUCCUGAUGUCUUCGGAUGGAUUUGAGUAAGAGCGUAGCUGUUGGGACCCGAAAGAUGGUGAACUAUGCCUGAAUAGGGUGAAGCCAGAGGAAACUCUGGUGGAGGCUCGCAGCGGUUCUGACGUGCAAAUCGAUCGUCAAAUUUGGGUAUAGGGGCGAAAGACUAAUCGAACCAUCUAGUAGCUGGUUCCUGCCGA